Molecule: transfer RNA, 60 nt
Organism: Culex pipiens (northern house mosquito)
Lineage: Eukaryota; Metazoa; Arthropoda; Insecta; Diptera; Culicidae
Rfam family: tRNA
About the family: Transfer RNA (tRNA) molecules are approximately 80 nucleotides in length.
Source: Rfam
GUGGCCUACUGGUUACGGUGUUCGCUUUGAAAGCGAGCGGUUCUGGGUUCGAUUCCCAUC